Molecule: long non-coding RNA, 854 nt
Organism: Oncorhynchus keta (chum salmon)
Lineage: Eukaryota; Metazoa; Chordata; Actinopteri; Salmoniformes; Salmonidae
Exons: 4
Source: RefSeq, a predicted model, not a curated record
UGACAGUACCUUUACCAGGUCAUGACAGUACUAUACACCUUUACCAGGUCAUGACAGUACUAUACACCUUUACCAGGUCAUGACAGUAAUAUACACCUUUACCAGGUCAUGACAGUACUAUACACCUUUACCAGGUCAUGACAGUAAUAUACACCUUUACCAGGUCAUGACAGUACUAUACACCUUUACCAGGUCAUGACAGUACUAUACACCUUUACCAGGUCAUGACAGUACUAUACACCUUUACCAGGUCAUGACAGUACUAUACACCUUUACCAGGUCAUGACAGUACUAUACACCUUUACCAGGUCAUGACAGUACCUUUACCAGGUCAUGACAGUACUAUACACCUUUACCAGGUCAUGACAGUACUAUACACCUUUACCAGGUCAUGACAGUACUAUACACCUUUACCAGGUCAUGACAGUAGUAUACACCUUUACCAGGUCAUGACAGUACUAUACACCUUUACCAGGUCAUGACAGUACUAUACACCUUUACCAGGUCAUGACAGUACUAUACACCUUUACCAGGUCAUGACAGUACCUUUACCAGGUCAUGACAGUACUAUACACCUUUACCAGGUCAUGACAGUACCUUUACCAGGUCAUGACAGUAUUAUACACCUUUACCAGGUCAUGACAGUACUAUACACCUUUACCAGGUCAUGACAGUAAUAUACACCUUUACCAGGUCAUGACAGUACUAUACACCUUUACCAGGUCAUGACAGUAUUAUACACCUUUACCAGGUCAUGACAGUAUUAUACACCUUUACCAGGUCAUGACAGUACCUUUACCAGGUCAUGACAGUACUAUACACCUUUACCAGGUCAUGACAGUAAUAUACACCUU